RNAcentral lists this ribosomal RNA (252 nucleotides) under uncultured bacterium. RNAcentral's name for it is "partial 16S ribosomal RNA". It matches the Rfam family "Bacterial small subunit ribosomal RNA", at positions 524 to 776 of the family's 1533-position model. The record is from RNAcentral.
UACGUAGGUGGCAAGCGUUGUCCGGAAUUACUGGGUGUAAAGGGAGCGUAGGCGGGAAGGCAAGUCGAAUGUUUAAACUAUGGGCUCAACUCAUAAUCGCGUUCGAAACUGCUUUUCUUGAGUGAAGUAGAGGUAAGCGGAAUUCCUAGUGUAGCGGUGAAAUGCGUAAAUAUUAGGAGGAACACCAGUGGCGAAGGCGGCUUACUGGGCUUUAACUGACGCUGAGGCUCGAAAGCGUGGGUAGCAAACAGG